This 85-nucleotide transfer RNA is filed under the name Bacteroidota bacterium. Its description in RNAcentral is "Bacteroidetes bacterium (activated sludge metagenome) tRNA-Leu". It matches the Rfam family "tRNA". From Rfam's summary of the family: Transfer RNA (tRNA) molecules are approximately 80 nucleotides in length. Their secondary structure includes four short double-helical elements and three loops (D, anti-codon, and T loops). Further hydrogen bonds mediate the characteristic L-shaped molecular structure. tRNAs have two regions of fundamental functional importance: the anti-codon, which is responsible for specific mRNA codon recognition, and the 3' end, to which the tRNAs corresponding amino acid is attached (by aminoacyl-tRNA synthetases). tRNAs cope with the degeneracy of the genetic code in two manners: having more than one tRNA (with a specific anti-codon) for a particular amino acid; and 'wobble' base-pairing, i.e. permitting non-standard base-pairing at the 3rd anti-codon position. The record is from RNAcentral. Lineage: Bacteria; Pseudomonadati; Bacteroidota.
CGCCCGGGUGGUGGAAUUGGUAGACACGCAGGACUUAAAAUCCUGUGGCCUUACAGCUGUACGGGUUCGACUCCCGUCCCGGUAC